Helianthus annuus (common sunflower) is the source of this 852-nucleotide long non-coding RNA. RefSeq lists it as uncharacterized. NCBI's taxonomy places the organism in Eukaryota, Viridiplantae, Streptophyta, Magnoliopsida, Asterales, Asteraceae. The transcript has 4 exons. The record is from RefSeq and is a predicted model, not a curated record.
UCACUCUAAGCUGACAUAGUAGCUGCUGCAAAUGAAUCACUGGAAAAGUAUUUCGUGAUGACAGCCGAAAAACGGUUAUUUCUUGGAAAGAAUGAUUCAUACCAAACUGAAAAGUUUAUGCGUGGGUGUCGGUUUCUUGAAGCUGACAUACAAGACAUGGAUCGUGUUCUGGUUGGCCAGACAAGAACAGGAAUGUGUGGUUGAAUGACUUUUGCUUUUGUUUUCGGAUGGGGUGGACAAGGCUACAUCUUCUUCUUUAAUCCCCAGUUAUCAGGUUCUUUCUUUCAAAAUAGGGUCAUACUUUUCGCUUUUAUAAUGAUUUAUAUAAUUGUUCUAUUUCUCUUUGUGUAGAACCGAUUAUACGAAUGAAGUCAACUACUAAUCCAACUGAAAUGGGUGGAAACAUUGCGGUUACUGUGACAGGAUCACCUACGCUUUCCAUCUGGGUACUAAUAAGUGUUUGUUCAAGGUGGCAAGGCUGAGCGAAGUGAUGCGAACAAGGUCUCUUAGAAAGUUACAGGUGUCAAUAUUUUGGGUAAAGAAGUUAGAGGGGUUAUUUCUGGUGACUCGAGAACUGGGCUAGAGCUUAAGAAGUCUCCUGCAUCUUCCAACAUGAGUAGUCUUGUGCUUCAAGUGUGUGUUUCAUUUUUUUAUGGCGUGUUCAAGAAGAGGCAGAGGAUAUUAUGUGAUUUGAUGUAAUUUGUUUAUGGUUGGGGAUCUAAAUUUCUUGGUGGGAUGGUAACUUUGACUCAUAGAAGUCUAUGGAAUACAAGGAUGUCAAAGUAUUGUUUCGGAUGUAGUAAUGCUAGCGAAUUUGAGUAAGAUGCAAGUUCUUUUGUUUUUGUUUUCAUA